UACGGGGGGGGCAAGCGUUGUUCGGAAUUACUGGGCGUAAAGAGCUUGUAGGCAGUCUGUCGCGUCUGCUGUGAAAAUCCGGGGCUCAACCCCGGACUUGCAGUGGGUACGGGCAGACUAGAGUGUGGUAGGGGAGACUGGAAUUCCUGGUGUAGCGGUGAAAUGCGCAGAUAUCAGGAGGAACACCGAUGGCGAAGGCAGGUCUCUGGGCCACUACUGACGCUGAGAAGCGAAAGCAUGGGGAGCGAACAGG
RNAcentral lists this ribosomal RNA (253 nucleotides) under uncultured bacterium. Its description in RNAcentral is "partial 16S ribosomal RNA". It matches the Rfam family "Bacterial small subunit ribosomal RNA", at positions 524 to 776 of the family's 1533-position model. The record is from RNAcentral.